GACGAACGCUGGCGGCGUGCUUAACACAUGCAAGUCGAACGGAAAGGCCCUGCUUUUGUGGGGUGCUCGAGUGGCGAACGGGUGAGUAACAAGUGAGUAACCUGCCCUUGACUUUGGGAUAACUUCAGGAAACUGGGGCUAAUACCGGAUAGGAGCUCCUGCUGCAUGGUGGGGGUUGGAAAGUUUCGGCGGUUGGGGAUGGACUCGCGGCUUAUCAGCUUGUUGGUGGGGUAGUGGCUUACCAAGGCUUUGACGGGUAGCCGGCCUGAGAGGGUGACCGGCCACAUUGGGGCUGAGAUACGGCCCAGACUCCUACGGGAGGCAGCAGUGGGGAAUAUUGCACAAUGGGCGGAAGCCUGAUGCAGCAACGCCGCGUGCGGGAUGACGGCCUUCGGGUUGUAAACCGCUUUCGCCUGUGACGAAGCGUGAGUGACGGUAAUGGGUAAAGAAGCACCGGCUAACUACGUG
This 468-nucleotide ribosomal RNA is filed under the name uncultured bacterium. Its description in RNAcentral is "partial 16S ribosomal RNA". It matches the Rfam family "Bacterial small subunit ribosomal RNA", at positions 28 to 507 of the family's 1533-position model. The record is from RNAcentral.